Molecule: ribosomal RNA, 450 nt
Filed under: uncultured Fibrobacter sp.
Lineage: Bacteria; Pseudomonadati; Fibrobacterota; Fibrobacteria; Fibrobacterales; Fibrobacteraceae
Description: partial 16S ribosomal RNA
Rfam family: Bacterial small subunit ribosomal RNA
Source: RNAcentral
ACGGAAGGCAGCAGUAGGGAAUAUUGCACAAUGGGGGAAACCCUGAUGCAGCAACGCCACGUGUGGGACAAGCAUUUCGGUGUGUAAACCACUGUCGUGAGGGAAUAAUGCUUGGUUUCGGCCAAGUUGAAUGUACCUCGAAAGGAAGCACCGGCAAACUUCGUGCCAGCAGCCGCGGUAAUACGAGGGGUGCAAGCGUUGUUCGGAAUCACUGGGCGUAAAGGGAGCGCAGGCGGAGAUGCAAGCAGUCUGUACAAUACCGGGGCCCAACCCCGGACCUGCAGACUGGACUGUUUCACUUGGAUAGUUCAGGGGCAAGCGGAAUUCCUGGUGUAGCGGUGGAAUGCGUAGAGAUCAGGAAGAACACCGAUGGCGAAGGCAGCUUGCUGGGGACUUAUCGACGCUCAUGCUCGAAAGUGCGGGUAGCAAACAGGAUUAGAUACCCUGGUA